UACGUAGGGGCCUAGCGUUGUCCGGAUUUAUUGGGCGUAAAGAGCUCGUAGGCGGUUCGGUAAGUCAGGUGUGAAAUCUCCACGCUCAACGUGGAGGGGCCACCUGAUACUGCCGUGACUCGAGUCCGGUAGGGGAGUGUGGAAUUCCCGGUGUAGCGGUGAAAUGCGCAGAUAUCGGGAGGAACACCAGUAGCGAAGGCGGCUCUCUGGGACGGUACUGACGCUGAGACGCGAAAGCGUGGGGAGCGAACAGG
This 254-nucleotide ribosomal RNA is filed under the name uncultured bacterium. RNAcentral's name for it is "partial 16S ribosomal RNA". It matches the Rfam family "Bacterial small subunit ribosomal RNA", at positions 524 to 776 of the family's 1533-position model. The record is from RNAcentral.